Molecule: ribosomal RNA, 465 nt
Filed under: Vreelandella stevensii
Lineage: Bacteria; Pseudomonadati; Pseudomonadota; Gammaproteobacteria; Oceanospirillales; Halomonadaceae
Description: partial 16S ribosomal RNA
Rfam family: Bacterial small subunit ribosomal RNA
Source: RNAcentral
CCUACGGGGGGCUGCAGUGGGGAAUAUUGGACAAUGGGGGCAACCCUGAUCCAGCCAUGCCGCGUGUGUCAAGAAGGCCCUCGGGUUGUAAAGCACUUUCAGUGAGGAAGAACGCCUGGUGGUUAAUACCCAUCAGGAAAGACAUCACUCACAGAAGAAGCACCGGCUAACUCCGUGCCAGCAGCCGCGGUAAUACGGAGGGUGCGAGCGUUAAUCGGAAUUACUGGGCGUAAAGCGCGCGUAGGUGGCUUGAUAAGCCGGUUGUGAAAGCCCCGGGCUCAACCUGGGAACGGCAUCCGGAACUGUCAAGCUAGAGUGCAGGAGAGGAAGGUAGAAUUCCCGGUGUAGCGGUGAAAUGCGUAGAGAUCGGGAGGAAUACCAGUGGCGAAGGCGGCCUUCUGGACUGACACUGACACUGAGGUGCGAAAGCGUGGGUAGCAAACAGGAUUAGAUACCCUAGUAGUC